AUCCUGGCAGAAAUCAGGGGAGGAGGAGCAUGGGACCCUGCAUCCCCCCCUCAAGUGUUGCCUCAGGAAGACACGGGGUCCGUCCUGGGGGCCCAGCCAGCUACGGAGGGUGGAGAGAGCCAGGCAGGGAGGGUCAGGAUGUAAGACAGAAAGUGUUUUUUCCCCCUUCUUGCCCUUCCAAAAAGAGCCAUAGCUGCAAAUCACUGGAGAUGGCUGACAAAGGCUGUAUCACGUCCCUCCCAGACCAGGUACAACGGGAGGUCAUUAGACCUCAGUGACCACCUACUCAGGUGGAAGCAUCUUGGAACUGUCGGUUAGCAGAAGCUAGGAAAACCAGUUUUAUCCUACUUGUCUGCUGGCGUUCGGAGAAUGGAAAAUUCCCAAUCAAGAUAAAAAGACUGAGGUGACAAAACAGGAGGUUUAAAAAGGACUCACAAUGGGGAAGACUCAGAGAGCCACAUGGAAAAUCUUUGGGCAGGAGAGGAAGAAACAGACAGUUUUUGUAGCAGGGGCGGGGCUGGUUUAGCUGAAGACCAACUGAAGUCAGAGGAAGCAAGCUGAUCUAGCAGGAGAGAGAGGCUCUGUGGCCCAGAAGUCAAGGCAUGAGCUGCAGCAGAGGGGUCCUGGACACACCCAGUGGACCCAGAUCACAGCCCAAAGAAUGCUCCAGAGUGGUGAGGAAAUUGAAGCAGGGAAACGUGUACAGUUUCUUACUAGUUUAAACUCUGCAGUUCUUGUGCUAUUAAAGAAAGAGCAAUGGGGUUUCGGAAUGCUGUGCAAAGUUUGUGCUACAUCUACCAUGUGCC
Mauremys mutica (yellowpond turtle) is the source of this 806-nucleotide long non-coding RNA. RefSeq lists it as uncharacterized. Lineage: Eukaryota; Metazoa; Chordata; Testudines; Geoemydidae. The transcript has 3 exons. The record is from RefSeq and is a predicted model, not a curated record.